This 82-nucleotide transfer RNA is filed under the name Collybiopsis luxurians FD-317 M1. RNAcentral's name for it is "Gymnopus luxurians FD-317 M1 tRNA". It matches the Rfam family "tRNA". Rfam says of the family: Transfer RNA (tRNA) molecules are approximately 80 nucleotides in length. Their secondary structure includes four short double-helical elements and three loops (D, anti-codon, and T loops). The record is from Rfam by way of RNAcentral. Lineage: Eukaryota; Fungi; Basidiomycota; Agaricomycetes; Agaricales; Omphalotaceae.
GCCUUCUUAGCUCAGUGGUAGAGCGUUGCACUUGUACCCUCGGUCAAUGCAAAGGUCAGUCGUUCAAUCCGGCUAGGAGGCA